UACUGUCGUUCCCUAUCUUCGACUNGAANCUCGGCUUUCGUCUCGCAUGGUGUCUUUCNUGNCUCGGGCACACUGCCUCUAUAUGCGGCCUUNCCCGCUCAAAGCGGUCCCCUCCCCCAACCCNCCGUCACUCCCAAACUUGGGGCAAAAAAGUAUUAGAUCCCCCGGUUUCUUACCCUAAANGAUGGNUGCUUGGGGGGCGGGCACCCAAUCCCGCCGUCCCGUAGUAACGGGGUAAGCAGUCCGCUGGGGAGUACGGUCCAAAGCUGAAACUCAAAGGAAUUGAGGGGGGCCCGCACAAAGCGGUGGAGCAUGUGUUUAAUUUGACGCAACGCGAAGAACCUUACCUGGGCUCGAAAUGUUAUGGACCGCGGUAGAAAUAUCGCUUUCCCGCAAGGGACCGUAAUAUAGGUGCUGCAUGGCUGUCGUCAGCUCGUGUCGUGAGAUGUUGGGUUAAGUCCCGCAACGAGCGCAACCCUUACUUCCAGUUGCCAUCAUUUAGUUGGGCACUCUGGCAGAACCGCCUCGGAUAACGGGGAGGAAGGUGGGGAUGACGUCAAGUCCUCAUGGCCUUUAUGUCCAGGGCUACACACGUGCUACAAUGGUCGGUACAAACCGUCGCAAACCCGUGAGGGGGAGCUAAUCGGAAAAAGCCGACCUCAGUUCGGAUUGUAGUCUGCAACUCGACUACAUGAAGCUGGAAUCGCUAGUAAUCGCGGAUCAGAAUGCCGCGGUGAAUACGUUCCCGGGCCUUGUACACACCGCCCGUCACAUCACGAAAGUGGGUUGCACUAGAAGUCGGUGGGCUAACCGCAAGGGAGCAGCCGCCCAAGGUGUAAUUCAUGAUUGGGGUGAAGUCGUAACAAGGUAA
Molecule: ribosomal RNA, 871 nt
Filed under: uncultured Acidobacteriota bacterium
Lineage: Bacteria; Pseudomonadati; Acidobacteriota
Description: bacterial SSU rRNA
Rfam family: Bacterial small subunit ribosomal RNA
Source: RNAcentral